GCUGGGCAUGCUGGCAUGCACCUGUAGCUCUAGCUAAUCUUGAGGCUGAGGCAGAAGGAUCAGUUGGGCCCAAGGAGCUCUGGGCUAUACCUGCCCAUCAGGUACCAACUAAGUUGGGAAUCAAUAUGGUGACCUCCCAGGAACAGAGGACCACUAGGUUGCUUAAGGAGAGGUAAACUGCCCCAAGUUGGAAACAAAGCAGAUCAGAACAACUGUGCUGAUCAGUAGUUGGACUGCGCCUGUGAAUAGACACUGCACUUCAGCCUGUGCAUCAUAGCAAAACCUGUCUCAG
This 292-nucleotide signal recognition particle RNA is filed under the name Otolemur garnettii (small-eared galago). RNAcentral describes it as "Metazoan signal recognition particle RNA". It matches the Rfam family "Metazoan signal recognition particle RNA". From Rfam's summary of the family: The signal recognition particle (SRP) is a universally conserved ribonucleoprotein. Lineage: Eukaryota; Metazoa; Chordata; Mammalia; Primates; Galagidae. The record is from Rfam by way of RNAcentral.